GUAUUCCUGGGUUAUUCGUCAGGGAAUCAUAAUUGAACCUACAUUUAUGCAUUGGGAACUCGGAGUUUUCGACGCGUUAUGUCAUGCCCCCUCGUUCAGGGGAAGACAGAGGCCAGAAACAGAGUACCCACCUAUCUUGAGAUAGGGCAUCAAUUAUCUCCCUGACGGUACCCCGGGGCUUAA
Molecule: non-coding RNA, 183 nt
Filed under: Bacillota bacterium
Lineage: Bacteria; Bacillati; Bacillota
Also listed under: 2 other names
Description: 6S RNA
Rfam family: 6S / SsrS RNA
About the family: E. coli 6S RNA was the first non coding RNA to be sequenced, but its function was unknown until recently. It consists of 184 nucleotides that fold into an extended hairpin structure with a large single-stranded internal bulge.
Source: RNAcentral